Molecule: long non-coding RNA, 588 nt
Filed under: Haliotis rubra (blacklip abalone)
Lineage: Eukaryota; Metazoa; Mollusca; Gastropoda; Lepetellida; Haliotidae
Description: uncharacterized LOC124272662
Source: RNAcentral
UGGGAAAUACCAACACGCUAAAAAUAGAUUCACGCAAUGACACCGACGACAUCGCCUGGAGCUCGGUUUUCAUUCGACUCAGAUCGGGAAGGCUGAACUGAACGCGAGAAUGUCUGGGAAAGGACAAAAGCUGGUUCCUCCCCCUGCCUCCCCGCCUUCCCCGUCUUCUUCAAGGAAACCCAACAUCACCCCCUGUUCAAAGGCCACGCCCACAGGAUCCACGGCCAAGACCAAGAUCUCCAGUUUACAAACCUGCUUUCCAACCAAGAAGCUGAGUUAGCAGUUUUCCGAAGACUUCUUCCUCUCUGCAAAGAAAAUAUCAAAACUGAAAGGACCAUGCAGACAUUUUCAUGUAGGCCGGUUACCUUGGCCGUAAUAUUGCAGGAAUGUUGCUAAAAGCGGCCUUAAACUAAACACACUCACUCAUGAAGUCCUAAGCAUUAACAAUUUUGAUUAAGAUUGUCUUCGGACAAUUCAGAAGUCCGAAGUCCAGACCUUAAUCAGCUUUGCUGAAAGCACAAAUGAAAUUAUACAUAUUUCUUAUUUUCGUAGUGUUAGAAAACGGGUGAAUAAACUGGGGAUUUAAAA